Molecule: long non-coding RNA, 2836 nt
Organism: Felis catus (domestic cat)
Lineage: Eukaryota; Metazoa; Chordata; Mammalia; Carnivora; Felidae
Exons: 2
Source: RefSeq, a predicted model, not a curated record
CUGUUUCGGAUCCUGCGUCUCCCUCUUUCUCUGACCCUCCCCUGUUCAUGCUCUCUCUCUCUCUCUGUCUCAAAAAUAAAUGUUAAAAAAAAACUUUUUUUUUAAGUUCUAAGUGGUUUAGUUAUGUUCUGAAGCAAGCCUGGUGGGUGCUUUGGUGACUGCCUCAUUUGAACCCUCAUCUCCUGAUGUUGCCUUCAGCCUGUGAGGUUGAAGUAUGCAGUGGACUCCCAAGGCUAUAGUGAUGAAGACUUGUGGCCGCGGGGGCCUCACCAACUGUGAGCAGCACCCCAUGUUAGGCCCACGCAGCUACAGGUGAGGAGGAGGAAGGACACAGGGAGGCAAGUAGAAAGAAACCGUGGCUCACAUUCUGUUGAGGCCAUUCCCGUGGUGCAGGGUGAGCAUGCUCCUUCACCCCGUGUGUGUGUGUGUGUGUGUGUGUGUGUGUGUGUGUGUGUGUGUGUGUGUGUUGUGUCUCACUCAGUGUGGCUUGUUUUCAAUUAGACCAGGCCUGAAAAAAUGAAAGGGAAGAAUUUCACUUUGAGACCAUAUGGAGAUGACCAAAUUCACCCCGCUCGGGGCCCCCGGGGCAGAGUAAACUUGCACUGCUAGUCGUGAACAGCAGUGUGUAAUAAAACAUUCUUUCCUUGAACCCUUUUGACUGGGAGGGAGGCACAGGGGGAGAACACAGCAGGAAUUCUUUCUUUUCAGCUGCUUCCUACUCUGUUGCUUACAUUCACCCAACAGAUCUUAUUGGGCUGCUACUGUGUGUGAGAGAGACGGAGACAGAGUGUGUGUUUUAUGGAGGAGACUGAUUAGCCUGGGCUCCGUUUUUGUCGUCCUUGGUGGUGCUAUGGAUCCCAUUUUAGGUUUACUGCCCCUUGACAUUUCUUAAAAGGAGUCUUCAAAGCAGAAAGUCCUAUUCUGAAGACAGGUUUCUGGGCAGUAAAGUUGACAGGGUUUAACAUCAGGAAAGUCAACCUGAUAGAAAAAGGAAACAGGAUAAACAAUUCAAGCUCCAUUCCACAAAGUUCUUGGAUGGGAAAGGCCCUGUUUAUGAAAACCCAGUGGCAGGCGUUCACUGUUCAUGUGGCCAGUGCUGGAGAGCGUGCAGUCCGUGGCUUACCUUCCCACGAGAUGACCCCGGCAUUUGUAGCAGUGGCGAAAUAGUAAAGCCAUUAGAUAAAAUCAGGCCAGUAAGACUCCGGUGUUUGUUUACUAAUGGGAUUUCUCAAAUCAAGUCACUGUUGACUUGUUCGCAGCUCCCCCAUCUCUUGUUCCCUAGGCUCACCUAAUAGAAGUGCCCUUCUCUUCUGCAGCCAACCAAUAUAGUGCCUGCCCAUUUAGCGAAAUUUGCAUUUUAUAUAUUGAACUUGAAACCGACUUGCUUAAUAUAUAACCAGGGCAGUAGCUAAGAAGUUUUUAUUUCGGUGAACACUUAGUGACGGUAAACAACGAGACUGUGGCAUUCUGGUCUUUGGGCAUAUUGUUUGUUACUGGUAAGACAGGGAAUCUGAGGAUUUUGCUGGUGGGACUUCAGGACUGUGUUGUAGAUGUGAGUUUCCAUUUGAGCUCGUGUACAAAUGGGUAUGUGUACUUUGAUUUUCCUGAUGUGUUUAAUGUUAGGAUACAGUCAUUUUUUUUGUUAAUAUCCCCACCUCUUUAUAAACAGAAUUCCAGGGGAAAAACAAUUCUAGGCAGAGGAAGUCUAAAAUAUUUGUAGAAGAUAGAAGGGAUAGUGCUAUAACCACAGAUAGGAAAACAAAAAAUAAAGAAGGAGAGAUUGUAAUGCAAUCCGUGUAUUGGAACAUGCUCCUUUAGAGUGAAGCAGGGCAGGGGCUGCUGGGCGGUGGGGAAGAAUCCACCUAGCAGCUCAUAGAUUUUAUGCUUGGUGAUCUAUAAAUAUUUGGCUGUGCCUAAUAAUUAACAUUAUACUUCCUUUUUCCUCUAUAGAAGGCUGUUCAGAAUUCCUUUUUACACACAAACAAAAAGAUUAUAUGGGGUUUUGCCUCAUAUGGAAUAGAUCAGCAGUUUAAAGCCAGGGCAGUCAACAGUCCUGCUGAAGAGGUUGCCUUCCUUUUUGGAGAGUGAGGACUGGUUCCCUUGGCAGUGCUGAGCCCAGAAAAGAGAGGGCACUGAGCACUUGAUCUUGGUCUUCCAGGUUUCUUGGUAACCCCAGCAUGGGACUCAGAAGACAGAGCUCCCAUAUCUGGAUGAGCAUACCCUUGGGGUAUUUUCGUAAUGCUUUUGUGGAUAUGUCAGCAACUUAGCACCCACCAAGACCUUCCUCUCUCUCUGUCUCUCUGUCUCUCUGUCUCUCUCUCUCUCUCCUGCCUAUCUUUCCUCCUCUGACAAUGGUCCCUGGGACCUGGGGUUGGAAAUUCUCCCUCAGUCUCCUUUCCUUUCCCAUCGUCCUCUGGAUGGGCCCUGAUGAAUUUGUGCUGAGUCGGGAGCUUCCCUUCCCUUAGAACCUAGCACAAAGCAGUUCCUGUCAUCCUGGCAGUGGACGCUAGAGACAAAGCUUAAUUUAUUUACUUGACUCUAUAGCUGUCUUUUCAUUUGUAUGCCCUUCUUGUCUAUUCUUGCUCUAGUUCUCCUUUCCUUGAAUCUUUACUUGUCCAUCUUUUAAAUUUUCUUCUAAAGGCACAAAUAGCACAUCAGGUAAAGGGAGGCUUCAGGACCGGAGUGCAGGGUCUUCCAAAAACAAAGUUCAGAAUGGCCACCCUGAUCGUCACGGCAUGGCUGGUGUCACAUUAACAGCCCGGGACUCUUGUGGCUCUCCUCAGAGCGUUGUGUGGGAAGCACCACAGUGUAAUAAAAAACGGUAAUGAUUAAAAGA